AGCAGAGCCUUGCUCGGGACUCUUACAGUGGAGAUCAGUCUCCGCAUGUAUGGACGCUCUGUACGGCCCUGGUGAACGCUUGGCUGUGAGGAUCACCACGGCCAUGGCCACAACAGAGCCAGCAUUGGUUUAUUUCAACUUGGAGAGUGCGAGUCACCCGGAUUUAAUUACCCUUUCCAUAAUGGCUGUCUGGAGAUAAUCUCAAACAAGCAGACAUGGGUGAGUUUGCCAUCAUAAGAAAACGUCAUGCUCACAAAGAUUCACAGACAUGCCCAUGUAAAGAAAUAUCAAAAGGCAAUUGUCUAGGGACAGAGCAACGCGUCCUCUUUCAUUUUAAGUCACCCAGUGAAUUUCACACGCAGUCACCAAUAUGACACGCGCCCUCAUAAUAGAAACCCAUAACCCAGUAAUAAAGGCUCGAGCUAAGCACUACAAGAGAAAACAGCUCUUUGUAAAAACAUCCAUUUGCAUUUAGCUCAGACAACAAGCUUCUGGCUUUUAAUGUGGCCUCUAAUGCAAUUAGUUUCUGGCUAGAGUCGCCGGGAUGAAAAAUAGCAACAUCUCCACGGACAUGAGAGGAGGAGCAGAGGCCGAUCGCAAUCACGGCCCCAUGUCGUGAGCCACCGCACAAAACAACAGCUCGAUGAUUCAUGCGGAAAAUGAAGUCUAUUAUGUAGCCGUUGCACUGACCCUGACAAUUUUCUGUGUUUCUCAUUAUGUCAGUCACUUGAUAUGAUACACUCAUUCCACAUGAUGAGCACCAUUUAACAUGGUAAACCCUUUGAUGUGUGGAUCAUACUUGGCUAAAGAUGGUAACAAUUUGCUAGAGAGAAGACAAAUCUUGUCAACAGGAUCUAAUGGCAAGGUGCACACACACACACACACACACUCACGGAAGACCCAGGGUCGUGUAAACAGAAGACACUAUGGCUCCAUUCAAAGUCUGUUUUCUCAAGAGUGUGGGCAAAUUAUCCCCGUGAGCAGAGUGUGAAACAAGAGACGUGCGAUACCACAGCGGUCAGGAACGGCGUGUGUCACCGGAGCUUACUGGCAGCCUAUUACGUUAGCUGCUGGUUUUCUUCCUCACUUUCUCCUGGUCAUCUCAUCAAUGGGCCAGCUGGAGGGAUUCCUGGCAGAGUGAUUUGGGAUUGUAUCAUAAAAUCACAUUGCCAGGGAUUUCCAACCAGCUGUGAACUGUUUACUCCAGGAAAGUCUCCGUCGAGUCGACCCUGCUUACACCCUGAUGGAUGAGGCCGUCAAAUCCAAAUCAAAGAGAACGGAUCAAACCUUUUUUUUCUCGCCACGGCCCGAGGACUAAAUAAUCUACCCUCAGAAUGAACCAUAGCUGAGGACCGAAGAGCACCGAAAUAGAAAGUUCGUAUCUGUAGGCUCCACAUAUGUUUUGUUUGCCGCCUUUUGUUCUUUACAUAAACACUGGCUUUCGUCCUAAGACUGUGGUUUUGGGAAACUGGAAAUGUGAUACUAGGGUAUCGUGCCGCACAGACGUAUGUGACCCGACGUAAUGGUAAUAUAAAAAGCUGUGGCUUCGGCAGCUGAGGCCGUCUUAGAAAUGGGUGGUGUAAGCGGUAGGUUCUGGAAAUGGUGCCACAGUGUUUUGUUAAAUAACUGGAUGUGUGAGGAAAAAUGUGAUAAUGGAUUCAUUAAGCAGAGGAUGUAGCGUUUUUUAUAUGUGCAUUUAUCGGAGAUGAAAAAAAAUUAUUUAGGAAACAUUGAGUAUUUUGAACGUCUUAGAACUGAAAAGUUUACUUCACUACAACUAUUUUAAUAGAUUAACUAAAAUGGAUUUAGAUUUUAUAAUUUUUUUUUACAUUAUAUAAUUGAUUUAUUCAUUCAUUCAUUUCAAAAGGCCAAAAAUUAGAGGUGUUUCUUCAUCUAUGGGCACUUUGACUAUGGUUGCCUUUGAAAAAUAUUUUUUACAAUCAAAAAUAUAUUUUCAAAAUGGAAUUUAAAUACUCUAUUAAAAUGUUUUUUUUGUUUGUUUGUUUGUUUCAGAAGAUCACAAAUAUUUUCGUGUCAAUUUCACAUCACAACAAAUUAUAUUUUGUUUUUAUAUUUACAAACAAUUUUACAGAAACAAUUUUACCUUUAUUGAAAUAUUUAAUAGCAUAAUUAGGGAGAAAUAACUUUUUAAAAUGUUUAAGCAUGUAAAAUCAUUAUUGCAUGAAAGUUAAACCUAAAAUCUAUACACAACAUUUAAAAAGCAGCAACACGUUUUAAAAAAAACCUAACACAUGGAUAUAAAAGUGCCCAAAGAUUAAGAAACAUCUAAAUAUGUUUGUGUGUGUUGAAAAUACAAUACAUGUCAGUACAUAUUAAAAAAAGAAGAUAAACUCUUUUUAGUUUAAUGCUGUAAUGUUUAAACAGAUUUUUUACAUUUAAUUAUCAUUUGUUUAAUGAUUUGGUGAACAUCUGGAUUUUAUGUCUGAUGAAGUUUCGUGAGGUGCAGGACUUAGCUCACUCUGUGAACAGAUCUCGGAUAUCCUAUGUUCACAGUGGCUAAGUUCCGCUCCUCUGAGGCCCACACUCAAAAUCAGCCAAGAGGUGAGAACACAAACAUGAAGGCUGGCCAUGCUAUAGCAAACCGGAAAAAGGACACAAACCUGAUCCAGAGGAACUACGGGAAAUGACCCGACAGGGAAAGAAGUCACAGAGCAAUCCUUCGUCCCACCCGCCUGGUCAGACAGGGUGGUCUGGUCAAGUUGGCGAUAAGCCAGAGCACUAUUCAACAUACAUGAAUGGAACAUAGGCAGUGCUGAACUUCCCUGAAGCCCCUUUAUGUUUCUGUCAGUCGAUGUAUUAUAUAUGCUAUAAAGAAUGUACUGGUUAAUUUAUGCCAGAAAUAUUAAACAUUCAUUUGAUGAAUACUUCUGUUAACCUUAAAACGCAAGUGCAAAAUUUUAAAUAUAGGUAAAACACCUAUAAAAUCGGUAACAAUUUACAAUAAGGUGUCAUUUAUUAACAUUAAUGUAUUAACUGAUAUGAACAAACAAUAAACAAUACAUUUAUUAGUUAUUCAUUGUUGUUAACAUUAAUUCAUAAAAAUGCAAUUAUCCAUUGUUAGUUUAUGUUAGCUCACAGUGCUAAUGUAACUAAUGUUAACAAACACAACUUUUUAGUAAACGCUAAAAUUAGUAUUACUAAAAGCUGUAGAAGCAUUGUUUAUUCUUUGUUCAUGCUAACUAAUGUUUUUAACUAAUGUUAUCUAUUUGUAAAGUGUUACCAAAAAACUACAUGGAAGCAUUUGUUUUAUUAAUUUUAAUGCAGUACAGUGUGCCCUGUGCACAGAUUUCUCAUAGUAUAUAAACAAACUCCAAAAGUCUGGGCAACACUAAAAUCUAAGUUUAAAAAGGUUUAUAUUCCAAAUAUAGAACAACUUGGCCGAUAUUUUUAAUAAAUAACUUUUAGCAAAUAGAUAAAUAAACUUACAAAUGCAACUAUGGUGUAUUUUGUAAGAUGUAACUUUUUAACUAGAAUUGAAUAACAUCAAUAAUAUCAAAAACUAUUAAGUAAUAGAAGCAUAUUAACUAUGCUCAGACUUUCGGAACUAACCUUCCACUUUGGUUCUUUUGGGAUUUUAUUUAAUGUGUGUGUGUGUGUGUGUUUGAGUAUUUUUAAUAAAUCAAAUGAUAUCUGAAUUUCUAAUAUGAAAAUAUGCACAAAUUUGUGACCAAACAGCUGCAGAUCCAAGCACAUUGUUUUUUUCAUCAUGUAUUGAGCUAAUACUUGACUCGGAUGCAAAACUUUCUAUAUUGUAUAUCCUAAAUAAACCUGCUAUCCAGCUCUGAUCACGAUGCAGACUUACAAUCAAUCCGAAGCUAAACACGGAGCUUUGUAGAGACCCUUGUAACUGGCAGAGGCCAGUGUGAGAUACAGCACUGGGUUCAACCUCCUGUGCCUACUGAGCUGAUAACAGUUGAUGUAUUUAGCACUGGCUCAGUUCAGCAGGAACCGGAGUUAAGCCCCUUAAGACCAAGAGCGCUUUCGAAGACUCUGCGGCUUACAGAAAAUGCAGUCAUCUGUACGGAUCAUACUCCUAAGAACGAUUUUCGUUAUCUGGCAAGAUCUAAAGAGUAUGGAGGAAAGCUGCUCCUGUAAUUUGAGCUUUAAACAAAUAAUAGGAGCAGAGGUUUUCCAGAUACAUUUCCAACUGGAUCAUCUGCGCCAGGCCAAAUGUAAUAAUUCAGCUAAUUGACUCCUAAUAUGUCAAUCUUACUCUGCUCAAGAACUCCAUCAUGUUUCAAUUCCACAAGGGAGUGAGUAUCGUGAACUGGAAGAUGGAAAAAAAAGAACAGAAAUAAUAAAAUGACAUUUUAAACUG
Molecule: long non-coding RNA, 4339 nt
Organism: Puntigrus tetrazona (Sumatra barb)
Lineage: Eukaryota; Metazoa; Chordata; Actinopteri; Cypriniformes; Cyprinidae
Exons: 2
Source: RefSeq, a predicted model, not a curated record